Molecule: long non-coding RNA, 310 nt
Organism: Sander lucioperca (pikeperch)
Lineage: Eukaryota; Metazoa; Chordata; Actinopteri; Perciformes; Percidae
Exons: 3
Source: RefSeq, a predicted model, not a curated record
UGAGAUGUAUAUGUUUGUUGAAACCCUGUAUGACAAUGUUCUCUCAAAUGAGUCAUGGUUGGGGCUUUUGGGCCUUUCAGACCUAAUCAGACUAAUUGAAGCCAUAUGGUGUGUCAGCUGAAUGUAAGGCCUACAUAUAUCCCUUCAUCAAAUGUGUUCACCAUUUGCCUGAAGAAGACCCAGUAGGGUCGAAAUGUUGCAUUUAUAUUAAAUAUUGGAGUUUAAAGCAGUGUUGCGGACAUUACAUUUUUUCGUUUUAAGUACUUUUCAUUUGUCCUGCACCUGCCAGAAGGAUGUUGUGUCCUGCUAU